RNAcentral lists this long non-coding RNA (2200 nucleotides) under Salmo salar (Atlantic salmon). RNAcentral's name for it is "lncRNA (ENSSSAG00000093481.1)". Lineage: Eukaryota; Metazoa; Chordata; Actinopteri; Salmoniformes; Salmonidae. The record is from RNAcentral.
AUAUAAGAAACAGUAGCUAAUAGACUGGACCAAUUAUAUGAAAACAAUCAUAUUCAUUAUAAUAACUACCCUACACAGUACAGGAUCAAGCAACUAUUUCGGACGUAACAUGUUUGCGUCGUUCUAUAAAAAAAUUGGGGUAUCGUCAUCAUCCUGCGACUACCAACUCUCUACUAGUCAGUGAACGGAGAACCGAGAGCACUAUCGCUUGAGGUAGCGGAGAGCAUCAAGCGGAUAAACUCUGUCUAAUUUUCAGCUAAUUCCCCUUCAGUGCUGGUCGGACACGGACCAUAUACCAUCCCCGAGUGGAUUUUUUUUGUCUGUGGGUGACCCGAACUGUUGGACGAAUUGAAAAAUAUUAUAAUUUGGCGUCGUAUCUAAGCAGAAACGAAAGUAUUGAGAGUGGUAUCCGAGGUUAGCCAGUUGGCUAACUGGGAAGGUUGCCUAGCUAGCUACUGCUGAGAAAAUACGAAGCGGAGGGAGACUACAGCGGCAAAAAGGGCCAUCGACGUGAGCUGUAUCCUGAAGAGGAGCUCUCCGUUUUUCUGGACACAUCAAGAGGAGUCGGAGUCCAUUUUGCUGUGUUCUACUCUGAUACUUUCGGAGAUUACUCUCCUUUCCACUACAAGGAAAGCCAGCCUGCAGAACGACAAGCCAACGCCAUCAAGUUUUUCCGACCGAUACAGCAAACACAGUUGUCAUCCCGUUUUGCAAUGGCAUGUCGCAGUGGUGGGAGAACGCAACUUCAUGCAGUGAACUCCUUAUCUUAGGGAAGCAUUCAGGUCUUCAAAGAGGGGAGGUUAAUGCGAACCUCUGUCCAGCAUAGCUAGAAUGCAAUGUCUUGCCUCCACUGACAGCCCUAACAGUGAGGGGCCAGGCCGGGAGCGGAGAGGAGAGCAACCCCCAGUGUGGCCUGACCGAGAGAAUCAAUGCCAAGCCCUUCUCCUCCUCAGACAGCCUAGUGAAGGUCCAGGAGGUAGCAAGCUGGCUUUUGGAAAUGAACCAGGAUCUGCUGUCGGGGGGCAGCAGGCGGGGCCUGGGGGGCCGGCGAGGGGGCCCGGGGGCCCAGCGAGGUAACGCCUCCUCCUCGGCCCGGACGCCCCAGGGCCAGCAGCCUGGAGAGGAGGCCGACGAGGAGGAGCACAUGAACCGGGUGGUGGAGGACCAAGAACACCAGCAGUCCAGAGUCCAGCCUGCGGCCUCGGCGGGGGGGGAAGGAGUGGAAGAGCCGUGGACCUCCAGGGAGAAUGGGCCCCGGGGAGACGGAGAGGAGGAGGAUGGAGGAGGAGUACCCAACGAGGUGAACGGAGGAGGGACUAAGGGCGGCCGGUGGAUGUGGGAGGCGGAGCGACGGCAACAGGGGGAGGAUGACGAGGAGGAGGAGGAGGAAGAGGAGAACAACAACAGUGGCAGCCAGCAGGGAGAGGAGGAGGAAAGGACAGAGGGAGGAGAGAGAACGGGGAGGGAGGACGAGGAGGAGAUGGACCAGGACAGUGAUGACUUUGAGCAUUCGGAGGAGAGCGGGAGGGAGGAAGAAGAGGAGGAGGAGGGGGAGGACGGCCUCCACUCACCCUCCACCAGGAGUGAUGCAUCUGUCCCCAACAACAACUUGGACCAGUCCUCGGGAUGCCAACACCAAAGCUCACCCAUCAAGAAGAAGCUCUAGCCUGGCCUGAGGAACCAGUGCACUCCCUGGGAGUCUGGGCUGCAUCACGUUAGCGCCCCACUCAUACUGGCUCUAGCCUGGCCUGAGGAACCACUGCACUCCCUGGGAGUCUGGGCUGCAUCACCACUUAUGCUGAACAGAAGUUAACACCCGUGAAUAUUGCAAAACGGCAACAAUGUCCAUUACAGGCUAGAACAAGAAGAUACUGCUAGCUUCCAGCUUUGUAAGCUAAGAUUCCUUGCUAGCUUACAGCUGAAGCGUACAUCAGUUCACUACCCUAGUACCUUGUUGGCGAUAAUAUGCAAACCAUAACACGCACUAUUGCUGAUUUCAAAGCUGAUUGUCUCCAAAAAAUGUAUUCAUUCAUGUGAUCUCCCUCGCCUCACUUCUCUUCCAGUCAAUAUUGUCUUUGCUGGAGCCCCAAACUGAGUGUGAAUGACAUCAUGGGUCUUAAAGAGACAGCGCACACAUUUGAUAAAAUACGUUUUUUUUCUUCUUCUAUGCAAAUGUUGUUGGUCAGUACAAUAAAAUAAG